UAACCUCAUCCAUUAUUAUUCUUAAAUUGACACGAUGCAGGGAAUAUUAGCAUGGCCCCUGCACAAGGAUGACAUGCAGAUUUGUGAAGCAUUCAAUAUUUUU
Molecule: small nuclear RNA, 103 nt
Organism: Suncus etruscus (white-toothed pygmy shrew)
Lineage: Eukaryota; Metazoa; Chordata; Mammalia; Eulipotyphla; Soricidae
Source: RefSeq, a predicted model, not a curated record